Molecule: ribosomal RNA, 200 nt
Filed under: uncultured organism
Description: partial small subunit ribosomal RNA
Rfam family: Bacterial small subunit ribosomal RNA
Source: RNAcentral
GUCAAGUCAUCAUGGCCUUUAUGCCCAGGGCUACACACGUGCUACAAUGGGGAGGACAAAGGGACGCCACCUGGUGACAGGGAGCAAAUCUCAAAAACCUCUUCUCAGUUCAGAUUGUAGUCUGCAACUCGACUACAUGAAGCUGGAAUCGCUAGUAAUCGCGCAUCAGCAAUGGCGCGGUGAAUACGUUCCCGGACCUU